CCUUAAGGCCCAAUGGGCUUCGAACGUCAAGCUCAUUGACUUAAGUUGUAUGACAACUUAAUGAAUAAUGAUUCACUAAGACCCAAAAGCCCAAAACAACACCCCAUGGCCGGCCAUUUAGAGGAAGGGUAGUGAACUUGCUUUAAUUACAAGUUUGCCACUCAAAUGAAUAAAGGUAUAAAUAUGACUUUAUAGCCUUUUAUUCAUUAGGGUUUCUUUUAGAGAAAAAUUGGUGAGAACUUGUCUCUCCAUUUUCUCUCUAGGAGGCCGGCCC
This 274-nucleotide long non-coding RNA is filed under the name Malus domestica (apple). Its description in RNAcentral is "long non-coding RNA (MDOM_LNC018033)". Lineage: Eukaryota; Viridiplantae; Streptophyta; Magnoliopsida; Rosales; Rosaceae. The record is from RNAcentral.